AGGACGAACGCUGGCGGCGUGCUUAACACAUGCAAGUCGAGCGGAAAGGCCCUUCGGGGUACUCGAGCGGCGAACGGGUGAGUAACACGUGAGCAACCUGCCCCUGGCUCUGGGAUAGCCUCCGGAAACGGGGAUUAAUACCGGACAUGACCUGCUGCCGCAUGGUGGCGGGUGGAAAGUUUUUCGGCCAGGGUGGGGCUCGCGGCCUAUCAGCUUGUUGGGGGGGUGACGGCCCACCAAGGCGACGACGGGUA
RNAcentral lists this ribosomal RNA (254 nucleotides) under uncultured bacterium. Its description in RNAcentral is "partial small subunit ribosomal RNA". It matches the Rfam family "Bacterial small subunit ribosomal RNA", at positions 26 to 285 of the family's 1533-position model. The record is from RNAcentral.